Molecule: transfer RNA, 72 nt
Filed under: Camelus bactrianus (Bactrian camel)
Lineage: Eukaryota; Metazoa; Chordata; Mammalia; Artiodactyla; Camelidae
Also listed under: 1 other name
Rfam family: tRNA
About the family: Transfer RNA (tRNA) molecules are approximately 80 nucleotides in length. Their secondary structure includes four short double-helical elements and three loops (D, anti-codon, and T loops). Further hydrogen bonds mediate the characteristic L-shaped molecular structure. tRNAs have two regions of fundamental functional importance: the anti-codon, which is responsible for specific mRNA codon recognition, and the 3' end, to which the tRNAs corresponding amino acid is attached (by aminoacyl-tRNA synthetases). tRNAs cope with the degeneracy of the genetic code in two manners: having more than one tRNA (with a specific anti-codon) for a particular amino acid; and 'wobble' base-pairing, i.e. permitting non-standard base-pairing at the 3rd anti-codon position.
Source: Rfam by way of RNAcentral
GAAGGUACAGCUCACUGGUAGAGCACGUGCUUAGUAUGCCCACGGUACUGGGUUCAAUCCCCAGUACCUCCG